Molecule: ribosomal RNA, 434 nt
Filed under: uncultured bacterium
Lineage: Bacteria
Description: partial 16S ribosomal RNA
Rfam family: Bacterial small subunit ribosomal RNA
Source: RNAcentral
AGCGAACGCUGGCGGCAGGCCUAACACAUGCAAGUCGAACGAACCUUUCGGGGUUAGUGGCGGACGGGUGAGUAACACGUGGGAACGUGCCUUUAGGUUCGGAAUAACUCAGGGAAACUUGUGCUAAUACCGAAUGUGCCCUUCGGGGGAAAGAUUUAUCGCCUUUAGAGCGGCCCGCGUCUGAUUAGCUAGUUGGUUGAGGUAAUGGCUCACCAAGGCGACGAUCAGUAGCUGGUCUGAGAGGAUGAUCAGCCACAUUGGGACUGAGACACGGCCCAAACUCCGACGGGAGGCAGCAGUGGGGAAUCUUGCGCAAUGGGCGAAAGCCUGACGCAGCCAUGCCGCGUGAAUGAUGAAGGUCUUAGGAUUGUAAAAUUCUUUCACCGGGGACGAUAAUGACGGUACCCGGAGAAGAAGCCCCGGCUAACUUCGUG